Molecule: ribosomal RNA, 498 nt
Filed under: uncultured bacterium
Lineage: Bacteria
Description: partial 16S ribosomal RNA
Rfam family: Bacterial small subunit ribosomal RNA
Source: RNAcentral
GACGAACGCUGGCGGCGUGCCUAAUACAUGCAAGUCGAACGAGAGCGACCGGUGCUUGCACUGGUCAAUCUAGUGGCGAACGGGUGAGUAACACGUGGGUAACCUGCCCAUCAGAGGGGGAUAACAUCCGGAAACGGAUGCUAAAACCGCAUAGGUCUUCGAGCCGCAUGGCUUGAAGAGGAAAAGAGGCGCAAGCUUCUGCUGAUGGAUGGACCCGCGGUGCAUUAGCUAGUUGGUGAGGUAACGGCUCACCAAGGCCGUGAUGCAUAGCCGACCUGAGAGGUUGAUCGGCCACAUUGGGACUGAGACACGGCCCAAACUCCUACGGGAGGCAGCAGUAGGGAAUCUUCCGCAAUGGACGCAAGUCUGACGGAGCAACGCCGCGUGAGUGAAGAAGGUUUUCGGAUCGUAAAACUCUGUUGUUAGAGAAGAACAAGUGCUAGAGUAACUGUUAGCGCCUUGACGGUAUCUAACCAGAAAGCCACGGCUAACUACGUG